UGGGGAAUAUUGCACAAUGGAGGAAACUCUGAUGCAGCGACGCCGCGUGAGUGAUGAAGGACUUCGUUUCGUAAAACUCUGUUCUAUGGGAAGAAAAGGACUGUACCAUAGGAGAAAGCUCCGGCUAAAUACGUGCCAGCAGCCGCGGUAAUACGUAUGGAGCGAGCGUUGUCCGGAAUUAUUGGGCGUAAAGGGUGCGCAGGCGGCUUUACAAGUUGGAUGUGAAAUAUUGUGGCUCAACCACAAACGUGCAUCCAAAACUGCAAAGCUUGAGUUAAGGAGAGGUAAGUGGAAUUCCUGGUGUAGCGGUGGAAUGCGUAGAUAUCAGGAGGAAUACCGGUGGCGAAGGCGACUUACUGGACUUAAACUGACGCUCAGGCACGAAAGCGUGGGGAGCAAACAGG
This 404-nucleotide ribosomal RNA is filed under the name Fusobacteriota bacterium. RNAcentral's name for it is "Fusobacteria bacterium partial 16S ribosomal RNA". It matches the Rfam family "Bacterial small subunit ribosomal RNA", at positions 355 to 776 of the family's 1533-position model. Lineage: Bacteria; Fusobacteriati; Fusobacteriota. The record is from RNAcentral.